Molecule: ribosomal RNA, 253 nt
Filed under: uncultured cyanobacterium
Lineage: Bacteria; Bacillati; Cyanobacteriota
Description: partial 16S ribosomal RNA
Rfam family: Bacterial small subunit ribosomal RNA
Source: RNAcentral
UACGGGGGGUGCAAGCGUUGUCCGGAAUCAUUGGGCGUAAAGCGUUCGUAGGCGGCAAGGUAAGUCUGAUGUUAAAGCCCGGGGCUCAACUCCGGUUCGGCAUUGGAUACUAUCUAGCUAGAAUGUGGUAGAGGUAAAGGGAAUUCCUGGUGUAGCGGUGAAAUGCGUAGAGAUAUGGAGGAACACCAGUGGCGAAGGCGGCUUCCUGGUCUGCAACUGACACUGAGGCGCGAAAGCGUGGGGAGCAAACAGG